RNAcentral lists this ribosomal RNA (237 nucleotides) under uncultured bacterium. RNAcentral's name for it is "partial 16S ribosomal RNA". It matches the Rfam family "Bacterial small subunit ribosomal RNA", at positions 118 to 352 of the family's 1533-position model. The record is from RNAcentral.
UGAGCAACCUGCCCUUGACCCUGGAAUAACAGCUGGAAACAGCUGCUAAUACCGGAUACGACCUCCGAUGGCAUCAUCGGAGGUGGAAAGCUCCGGCGGUCAAGGAUGGGCUCGCGGCCUAUCAGCUAGUUGGUGUGGGUAACGGCCCACCAAGGCGACGACGGGUAGCCGGCCUGAGAGGGUGACCGGCCACACUGGGACUGAGACACGGCCCAGACUCCGUACGGGGAGGNAGCG